This 148-nucleotide non-coding RNA is filed under the name Homo sapiens (human). The record is from Rfam by way of RNAcentral. Lineage: Eukaryota; Metazoa; Chordata; Mammalia; Primates; Hominidae.
GCCAGGCAUGGUAGCAUGUGCCUGUGGUCCUAGUUACUUGGGAGGCUGAGGCAGGAGGAUCACUUGAGCCCAGGAGUUUAAGGCUGCAGUGAGCUAUGAUAGCACCACUGCACUCCAGCCUGGGUGACAAAGCGAGACCCUGUCUCAA